Molecule: small RNA, 29 nt
Filed under: Bombyx mori (domestic silkworm)
Lineage: Eukaryota; Metazoa; Arthropoda; Insecta; Lepidoptera; Bombycidae
Description: ovarian small RNA-33537
Source: RNAcentral
UGCAGUGGUGGCACUUCGGCUUCGGCUCC